CCUCAGCCAUGUCUGUCUCUCUACCUCCUCCGAGCACCGAGGAGCACGGUGCGGUACAGCUGCACGAGCACAGCAACGCCAACCUUCUCAAGAUCGACACCCAUGACACAUACUCCACUGUAGGCACCAUCAAGAAGCUCAUUGUGAAAGCUCUACCAGCGGAGCAACGCGAAGCACCGCCGCAGCCGCUUCUCAAAGGGCUUAUUCGCAUCAACAAGAAUCCCAAGAAUGCGUACCUCUUCAUGGCCUUCAAGACCCCUGAGGACCGCGCGGCCGCCUCCGCCGUGCUGCAGACCAUCUCCCACCGUGGCCGCCCGUGGACGGAGACGUCGGUAUCGCCACGCGACUUGGAGCUCACCCACAAGGGUGGUGUGAAGCGCCGGCGCGACGGCGACGACGGCGAUGGGAGUAGUAAGCUGACACAGUACGAGCACCUUCACAUGGAGGAACAGCUGAACCGCAAGAAGCGGCACUGUCUUAACGUGAUGCGGAGAAUUCUGCCCGCCGGCGUGUAUGGCUACGCCGCCUUCCAAGAUCGCUUUGCCGGCAUCCUCACGAGCCCUGUAACGGAGGGCUACCGCAACCACGUCAACCUGUCGUUUGGGUUCUGCGCAGAUGGCAGCACGCCGGCGUUGGGCUUCCAGCAGGGCUCCCUCGUGGAGGGAACAGCCGCCGUCCUCCCCGCCACGCUGCCUGAUAAGGACAUUGUGACGAUGAACUCUGCCGCCAAGGUGGUGGCCGCAGCGCUGAUGGACAUGUGCAUGGAGUUCAGAGACGUCGCGAAGGGAGGUCUCGACGUCUUUAAUAAGGUUAAGGCCAGCGGGUUCUGGCGCAAGCUGCAAGUGCGUCACAACGUAAAGGGCGAGGUGAUGAUGGACGUAGAGGCGGAUGCGGCCAGCACGACCGCGGACGUGUGGGCAGCGGUGCGACAACGCCUCGUGGAAGUCUUCGCGUGUGAGGAGAUGCGCGUCAAGCUGGUUGCAGCGACUGGUCUGUCCACAGCGGCCGUGGUGAGCCUCCAGUGCCACACACACACGGGAAUCAGCUCCCUGCCUCUCGACGUGCCGCGCGAGGUGCUGUAUGGCGCACCCACCCUUACGGAAUACCUUGCGGGGCUGUGCUUCGAGCUUAGCCCGACAGCGUUCUUUCAGGUCAACACGCCAGGCAUGGAAACGAUGAUGAUGAAGGUGGCUGAGGUGGCUGAGCUGUCGGCGGGCACAACGCUGCUGGACUUGUGUAGUGGGACGGGGACGAUUGGACUGACGCUGUCGAAGCACGUGAAGCGCGUUAUCGGCAUUGAGCUGGUGGAGUCGGCUGUUGCGAAUGCGCGGCGAAACGCUCAGCAGAACGGCAUCACCAACACGGAGUUCCAUUGCGGACGUGUGGAGCACCUGCUCCCCUCCGUCAUCAGUGGCCUACCUGCCGAGGACCGCGGCGACAUUGUGGUCAUCCUCGACCCUCCCAGGGCUGGGGUGAACAGUACAGUACUGAGGUGGAUCCGCGGCAUGGAGACGAUACGGCGUGUGGUAUACAUUUCCUGCGAGCAGAAGGCGCUGGAGCGGGAUUGCCCUGGGCUGACGAAGCCCAGCACCAAGGCGUAUCGAGGCACACCGUUCGAGGUCACUGCAGCUUUUGCUGUCGACCUUUUCCCGCACACACAUCACGUGGAGAUGGUUGCGGUGCUUACACGUCGCCCAGAGAGCGCUGCAGGCCCUGCAAGCGAGUCGGCACCGGCACCAAAACCGGCGCCAGUGAGUGCGGAACGCGCGGCCGAAGAGGAGGAAACAGUCGCCGACGCUAACGGUGGCUGCGUCGAGUAGCGGAGUCUCACUUUAAAUGAAAGGCACAGCGUUGCAUGGGGGACUGGCACGCAGACAGAUAUGCGCGUGUUUAUGCUGGUAAGAGAGAGAUCACGUAGCGUAUGUGUGUGUAAGGCAGGCGCUCCCUCGUG
This 1951-nucleotide unclassified non-coding RNA is filed under the name Leishmania donovani. RNAcentral describes it as "gene:LdHU3.20.2050(CDS-product:tRNA_(Uracil-5-)-m ethyltransferase/Protein-L-isoaspartate(D-aspartate)_O-meth yltransferase_(PCMT)/ubiE/COQ5_methyltransferase_family/Con served_hypothetical_protein_95/Methyltransferase_small_doma in/Methyltransferase_domain_containing_protein_putative)". Lineage: Eukaryota; Euglenozoa; Kinetoplastea; Trypanosomatida; Trypanosomatidae. The record is from RNAcentral.